UACGUAGGGGGCGAGCGUUGUCCGGAUUUAUUGGGCGUAAAGAGCUCGUAGGCGGUUUGGAAAGUCGGGUGUGAAAACUCCGGGCUCAACUCGGAGACGCCACUCGAUACUGCCAUGACUAGAGUCCGGUAGGGGAGUGCGGAAUUCCUGGUGUAGCGGUGAAAUGCGCAGAUAUCAGGAGGAACACCGGUGGCGAAGGCGGCACUCUGGGCCGGAACUGACGCUGAGGAGCGAAAGCGUGGGGAGCGAACAGG
Molecule: ribosomal RNA, 254 nt
Filed under: uncultured bacterium
Lineage: Bacteria
Description: partial 16S ribosomal RNA
Rfam family: Bacterial small subunit ribosomal RNA
Source: RNAcentral